Molecule: ribosomal RNA, 351 nt
Filed under: Triticum aestivum (bread wheat)
Lineage: Eukaryota; Viridiplantae; Streptophyta; Magnoliopsida; Poales; Poaceae
Description: partial small subunit ribosomal RNA
Source: RNAcentral
AUGAAUAUACUGGACCAGCUCCGAGAAUUCAUUGAGUUGGCUUCUACCAUUACCUCAACCUCCCUCGACCCUCUCACUCCGGACACCAUCUCUUGGAACUGGAACCCCAAGGGAGAAUAUUCCGCUGACUCGGCCUAUCGGGCGCAAUUCCUCGGCUCUUACUAGAGGUUCUCAAGCAAUAAAGUCUGGAAGGCGCAUGCGGAGCCGAAGUGCAAGCUUUUCUCCUGGCUGGUCCUCCACAACAGGAUCCUAACGAUUGAUCGACUCGCCAAGUGCUUGGUGGGCUCGGUAUCGCAGACCUGGAAUGCUUUGGGAGGGCCCUUAGACUUCGUUGGAUAUGGCUACAAAUAA